RNAcentral lists this transfer RNA (75 nucleotides) under Parcubacteria group bacterium ADurb.Bin326. Its description in RNAcentral is "tRNA-His". It matches the Rfam family "tRNA". From Rfam's summary of the family: Transfer RNA (tRNA) molecules are approximately 80 nucleotides in length. The record is from RNAcentral.
GUGGUCGUAGCUCAAUUGGUUAGAGCACUCGGUUGUGGUCCGAGCGGUUGGGAGUUCAAGUCUCCUCGUCCACCC